GGGCCUGUAGCUUAGCUAGGUAGAGCGAUCGGCUCUUAUCGGCACGCUCCAUCGGAACGUCCGGGGGACACCGAUAGGUCAAGGGUUCGAAUCCCUUCAGGCCCG
This 105-nucleotide transfer RNA is filed under the name soil metagenome. It matches the Rfam family "tRNA". From Rfam's summary of the family: Transfer RNA (tRNA) molecules are approximately 80 nucleotides in length. Their secondary structure includes four short double-helical elements and three loops (D, anti-codon, and T loops). The record is from RNAcentral.